UUGUUUUGGGGUGUUACAGGUUCACACGUGAGCGGCGCGGCGGUGCGAGGCGAGGGCGUAGCUUCAUAGUUAGCGUCCUACCACCGAGACCAGAGAUAGCGGUACCCUGAGUCGGUUACUUAGGGAUGUAAAGAAUGAAAAGAAUUAAGUUGUAAUAAUCAUGUUAAAUCGAAUUGUAUUUGGAAGUUAAGUGAAAGCUAAUGUAAGAAUCAAAUGAGAAUUGUGAUGUAAAAAUGUAUGAAUGUGAAUGCAUGUAAUAACAUAGGAUGUGUUAUAUUAUUUG
Molecule: long non-coding RNA, 283 nt
Filed under: Ananas comosus (pineapple)
Lineage: Eukaryota; Viridiplantae; Streptophyta; Magnoliopsida; Poales; Bromeliaceae
Description: long non-coding RNA (ACOM_LNC042090)
Source: RNAcentral